GUCUGGCCCUUGGGUAGCAUGUGCAGGCAUGCAGGUGGUGCUGCCAACAGACUAUAAGACUGAGGAGAUGAGGGUUGGCAGGAGCUGGGAAGGAACUCCAGGAAGUGGGGGUGCGUCUACCAGAAGCCCCUCCCCUGCACGUGGCUAUUGAUAUUGAUGGUAUCAGGUUCCUCUCCCAAACCACAAAUGGCCAUCGUCCCCCACCACUCCCAUCAUCUGGCUUCCCAGCCUGCCCCCAAAGUUCAGCUACCUCCACAUUCUCCUUGCCCCAUGCUAGCCAGGAGACCCAGGAGAAAUAAACCAAAAAAAGAGAUUGAAAAUUUAAUCAAAAGUAGCAAUAACAAACCAUGUGUGGAUAUCAGCCAGCAACUGAGUUGCAUGAACACCACCAAGAUCACUGCAGGCUGAGGCCCCUGAGAUCCUAGGAGUGCAAGAGAGGGCAGAGGCAGAGAGGGGAGAGGCCAAGGAGAAGGGGGCUGGCUUCCCCCAAUCGCCAGAGGGGAGGACAGGGUGUGACAGCAAGGCCCCAAACAUUCUCCUAAGGAACCCAGACGCUGUUCACUGUUCGGUCUAGACUGGAGUCUGGCAUUUCUUCUGAUUUCCUCAGUCUGGGACCUCAGAAGAGGCACAGGAGAAGAGAGAGUGAACAUCAGGAAGGGUUGAGGAUUCUGGAAUUCUCCUUGGUCUCUUCCUCUCAGAAAAAGUUGCUAAGAGAACACAACCCAGGCAGUCUCUUUUUAUUAUUUUUUCCUGGGGAGGGGUGAGGGUGCAGGUCUCAUAGAGCAGGAGGAGGCAGGAGGGCUUGAAGGAAAUGGUUCCAUCCUUCCACCCUAAGGGUCCUUGAUUGAACUCCGGUGGUCGGGCUUGGUGGCAAAUUCCCUUACCCAACAAGUCACCUCUGUGACACAGACACUCACUGUCUCUGCUUCCUGCUCACCAUGGUGUCGGCAGCUCUGCUCCACCAGGCACCUUCCCACCAGGAUGGAGUGAAACCUUUAGAACUACGGGCAAAAUAACCCCCCCCAAAAAAAAGUAGAGGAAAGGGAGAAGGAGGAAGAGGGGAGGAAGAGAGAAAGGAGGAGAGGAAGAAAAGGGGGUGUGGGGGAGGGGGAGGAGGAAGGAAGGAAGGAAGGAAGGAAGGAAGGAAGGAAGGAAGGAAGGAAGGAAGGAAGGAAGAAGGAAGAUGCAGCCCCCUGGGUUGAGUACAGUUUGAUGGUAACUGCAGCUCUUCUCAAGGGUAAUUCCAUUGACUCCCCUGACUCCCUCCAAUAUUGGGGGAUAAAACGUGGAGUCAGAUCAGAUAGAUAACAGAUAUUUUAUUAAGAAAUAGUACUCACAGAUCCACCUAGCCAGGCGGCAGGGAGCCAGGGAGGAAAGGAAGCAUGUGUGCCCCCCUCAAUUCUUUAAACCUUUCCCACUGACCACACAUGCUUUCUCCCUUCACUCCAAUGUCCCCUUGACCUUAGAGACCAGCUUCUUUAAAGGCUUUACCUAGUGGGGCCCUAGUCACCAUGUCCUUCUCAGUUUGCAGCUGCUGAAUUAUUCAUCCAUAGUGAAAGAUGGCCAAGGAGAGGCCGGAAUUAGGUUGCACAUGCCUGUGGCCCCAGCACUCGGGAUGCUGAAACAGCAGAAUUUCUUAUUUGAAGCUAGUCUGGGCUAGAUAGUAAGAUGCUUAAAAAACAAAAUGGUUCAGCAGUUAGGAGCACUUGCUGCUUUUGCAGAGGGCCUGGGUUUGGUUCCCAGCACCCACAUAAUGACUUGCAACCAUCCAUGAUUCCAGUCCCUGGUGACAUCCUCUCUGACCUCAGCAGGCACCAGAUACACACAGUGCACACACAUACACGCAGACAAACAUCUAUACACAUUAGACAAAAUUUAAAAAGCAGGGAGUUGAGGGCCUAGAGGACACCAAGGGACACUCCCCACUGGUCUCCCUGCCCACGGUGUGUGGAGGCCAUCCUACUUUCUCCUGCCAACUGACCAAGUCAACGACUCUGGUAAUGUGGUCACUCUUUCCUAACCCUCUGGCCUUUCGGCACAAAGAAAUGGCCAGGUGGCAGGUAUAGGUUAAAGUUUAAUGAGAGCAUCACUGUGUAUCCUGGUGAAAAUGUCCCUGUCUGGCAACCAGAGGAGACUUCUAGACACACAGAGCUUAACCUGUGUCUAAGACGUUAAGAACAAAGCAGGUCACGGUGGUGGCACAAGCCUUUAAUCCAGUACUCAGGAGGCAGAGGCAGCCGGAUCUCUGAGUUCGAGGUCAGCCUGGUCUACAGUGUGAGUUCCAGGACAGCCAAGACUACACAGAGAAAUCCUGUCUUGAAAACUCACAAAACAAAAAAGAACAAUAUUCCCCAAAAUGGCUCAGCAGAAAAAGUCACUGGCUGCACAAGCCAGGACUGUGAACGAGGAGUUCAAAGCCUGGAACCCACAGAAAGGUGAAAAAAGAGAACAGACUCCUUACAAAGUUGUCCUAUGACCUCCACACAUGCACAGUGCAAUGUGCACCCCACACACGCAUCAUAUCCAUCUGUCACCCAAAUCUGCUGGGCUGCUUGUCCUCAGUCUGGAGCUGUUGCAGAGCCCUCUCUGCCUGGGGCUGUCUCAAAGAUGCCAGCCCUCAUGUCACUUGGUAAAAUGGCGUGGGUUCCCAGGUCCCUUUGUGAACCAUUUGGAUCAUCCAUAGCAGGAAUGGAAAACUGGGCGUUUGCCACAUCGGGAGGCAGAUGUGUGUCUGACUGCCCUGGCUGAGGUGCUGUGGGCACUGAAGCCGCCUUAGCUGCCAUGGUUCUGCUUCUGUAGACAUCCACUCAAUGUCUUCUAGAACAUACUUUGUAGGCACCAAACCAGCGAAUUGAUAACUUAAGGACUGCCCCCAUACAUCUUGGACAUCUUGGGACUUUACUGGCCAUGCUCACUUCUGCCCCGGCCCACCCCACCUCUCCCCUGGGAUAUGGCAUUGGUUGGUGUUAUGUGACAGACUUUUUCCUAGGGAGACUUCACACACGUUUAUCAACCCCAGAAAGGGAACCCACAACAGACCAAGUAAUGAUUUUAUCAAAAUCCAAUCGUUUACUGAGAUUUCUAACAGGAAUAUGGCUGGGAAGUCACUUAUGGAAACAGGGAUGACUCUAAACAGCCAAAUCACUGAAAAGCCCACCCCAGCAGGGGUGACAACUCACAAAAGCUGUCUGAGGAAUCCCUCUCAGAUCUGCUGGUCAGUCCCCUCCUCUUCGUCUAUGAAACUGGGAGGGGCCUUGCGAAUCUCCCCAGUUUCCGAUUUCCCAGACAAUUGGCUUGAUGUUUCAUUUUACACUGGGUCCGGCUGAGACACCAUAUCCCACCCAGACUUCGACUCGGAGCCAGGAAGUGGAAUGACUCUGUGAACUCUGUGGAGAAACACAUGCUGCACCAAGCUUGGGCAGCAUUCUGUCGGGAUUCCACCCACUGCUUCUCCAACUGGGAUGCUGUGCAGAUCUUGGACCCUGCAUCCAACAGUCUCAGAAAGGUCUGGUUAUUCUUCCUUCAAGGAGGCACUGUGACUCCAGGAAGUGGCCAUGGGUCUCUUUGGAAAUAAAUAACCAGGCUAUCAGUGCCAUACGGUCAAGUGUGGCAGCAACUUUGGGGAUGGGUAACCUCCCUUUGGAAGAGUGGGUCUGGUGUGCACUCUAGCUCAGUAAACAACUGUGGCCUUUUCCUGUCACAGUGUCUGUCUUCAGUCUCUGAUGGUCCAUUGAAUCCUUCUGAUGGUGUAAAUUACGCCAGUACCCUUGCUGCCUGCUCCUCUGUCUCGUUCUGGGAACACCAGAUAACUAUCUGCCGAGUGCUGUUCAGACUUCCACCUGCCACUCCCGUCUUACAGUAAUUUUCCCCACCUUGCUCAUAAUUUUAAGUUCCACCAAGGGGUGUCAUUAUCUCAAGCUCCCCUCUUCCCUAUUGAUACCAGGGAAGACAGUCCAAUCACAGCAACUAUUAUUGCCAGCCUUGGCUUCUAGAGGUCAGCCAUCAUGGAGCUUCUGGACCACGCCACCCACCAUUGACCCUCUCUCACCAGCACCUGAGAAAUGCACCAUCGCCAGGAGUCCUUGGAGCUGGGGCAGCAGCUGGGGUUCUGACAUUUCUUAUUCACUGAGAUGAGUCCUACCUGGAUGUCCCCAAGUGUCAUCUUAGCAGCAGUGAGCAUCCUUCCUGAAGACCUUGCAAGGCUGUGAAAUCCUGUAUCCCUGGUGGACCUCUCCUGUUCCCACUUGGCACCACACUGCCUCCGGCCCAGGGGCCUUUGUCAUCAAUCCCUGCAAGUCAGCAGUGAUCCUGCAGCCUGCUUGGCACAACAUCUGCUUUGUGACCCUUUCCUGGGGAGAUGUAAACAAGUCUCUGCUCCCCAUCGGCCGCACACCAAUGACAGAUCGAAAUAACAAUUGCUCCAAAGUUCAGCGUCAGCUUGGAGAACCAAUGAGGAGUUUAUUGGGCUUACUUAUAGAGCACGGAUAAUGGUUACACACCGGAGCUCAGGUGACCUCAAAGCUGUCACAUCACUGAAAAAUCUCACCCAGCAUGGAUGAACCUUCCACAGUCUAUGUACUAGCCCCGCCCCGUGGCCUCCCGCCCCCGCCCCACGAUCUUGAGACUAUGUGCAGUUGAGGGAAAUUACUUACUGCUGCAGGGAGUGGCUGAAACCUCGGGUGGGGCUCUAGUGAGUCUCCUCAUCUUUCCUAGGAGAGAAUGUCAACAGUCCUGCCUCAAGGGUGUCUUGAGUGUUGUCAUGGCUGCUCUGAUGAAAAUGGUAACCGUUCUCGUGCCUGUGGGACAGUGCUCUCCAGCACCAUUCUUUACUUCCCUAAGUUGCAGCACAAUCACAUCUUGAUCCCAGUCAAGGCGGAUGUCUGUCUCAGGGUAGAUGCUUUCUGUUUUGCAAGCCUGAGGCCUGUCUCUACCAGCAGGUGGGACCACAACCUUUAACCAGGAGUGGGCCAAGUGUGCAGAGCCAGAGGGCUAGUGAGGACGUAGAGACUUGAGAUUGUCAAAUGCACCCACAAAAAGUCCCCACCCAUGUGCCAAUCAUCCGGAUCCCAUGCUCUCCCGCAGCCCUGACCCACGAGCAGCUUCUGGACUUGGGAUCCAGCAGCUUCUCAUUAAGCUACAGUCUGGUCCUCGGCAUCUUCCGUCCUCCACCUGAGGAACUGCGAGGCUCUUAACACACAUAGUCCAGGAGGCCCUGUGGGUUUUACACUUCACCGGGAUGGGUGACUGUUCCACCCUAGCCUGUCAUGAUCCUCCUCCCCCUAACCAUUACUCUACAACUUUGCUUUUGUAUUUGUAUUUAUAAUGAUUCUUCCACAUCUGUCAAAUGCUUGCCCACGCCAGCCAGUGCAUCUGCUCCUAUAACCUCUCAAUCCCAGGUCACCCCAAUUGUGCUUUUAACCUAUGCACUGACAGCAUGUGGUAGGCUUUCCAUAUUGUCCCUACCUCCAGGAACAGGUUUCUGGUUGCCAGAAAACCAACAGGUCAUGUGCCACAAAAAUCUCAUCUCAUCCAGGUGGUGGUGGUUCAUGCUUUUAAUUCCAGCAUUCAGGAGACAGAGGCAGGUGGAUCUCUGAGUCCAAGGCCAGCAUGGUCUACAAAAUGAAUUCCAGGACAGCCAGGGCUACACAGAGAAACCCUGUCUCAAAACAACAACAACAACAAAAAGUCUCAUCUCAAAUUGUCUCUCCCUGAUCUCUUCCCAUUCUUUCUUCCAUCAGAGCUCAGAAGCUGGCUCUGUGGAAGGAGAGCUGAAUUAGACAGAGGGGACUUGGCUUUGCCUCGGUGGUUAUAGAAGCCCCAGCUGGAAACACAUGGAAUCUCUGAAGUUCAACUGAACCCUUGGAGCUGUCUCAAAUGGAAGACUCUUGAUUCUCAAAAGAACUAUGAGAUUUAAGUUGUGGGGAAUGGAUGGGGGCAUUGGGAAGAACACACCUAUGGUCAAGAUUCCCCAAGGUUGAUUAACUGGUUAGAACUGUGGUUGUGAGAAAGUAAAACACCGCUAGUCAGACUCCAAUUAUCUUGGCCAACUUUAGCCUUCUUUUACACUUAUCUGCUCUGUGUGUGUGUGUGUGUGUGUG
RNAcentral lists this long non-coding RNA (6098 nucleotides) under Cricetulus griseus (Chinese hamster). RNAcentral's name for it is "lncRNA (ENSCGRG00015029047.1)". The record is from RNAcentral. Lineage: Eukaryota; Metazoa; Chordata; Mammalia; Rodentia; Cricetidae.